UUGAAAUGCUGUUGCACAGUUAACAGAUUUUACACCACAUGCUGGUGAUAAUAAACGAUUAUGAAUCUGAGUGGAUAGACAAUGCUAUUGUCCUGGGGAUUGAAAUGUCUAAUACACUUAAGGUGAGACCAGAUGUAAGCGACGUUUGUGUCUUUCCACAGAGUGUUGGGAGCUGGACCCUCUGCCUGGGGUGGGAGACCCCACUAGUUACGUGAUCCUGUUUGCCCCUCCGAUUUAUCCGCAGAUGUACAAUCUCUUCACGCAUGCUCACUGUUUCCGGGUGGGUGGUGUUUUCCUUUCUGCUCAGCCUUCAAUGUUUAACGUUCAGUGAGUUUUGUUCAUAGUAACAAUUAAUAGAAAUGUUUGGUUCUCCUUUUUAUUGUUUAUCGGCUUCAUUAUCUUUGAUGUUAAAGUUAGACAUGUGAUGAGAGAUUUAUUGGAAGAAAAUCCCCAAAUGGAAGCAAACCAUGACUGAAGACGAGUGAAACAGCCCGAGGAUUGAGAACAUCAACUGGAGAGAACCCAAAUGACUUGGAGAUUCCAUUGAUAUAGUCAGGAGAAAGUUUGGUUAAAAAUGACAAGGAAUUUGUCUAUGGAAAUUCAAACAUAGCACCCCAGUUUUGCUGUCUCGGUCUAGAUAUUUAAGAAGUGGAGCAAGGGAUUUACUCGAUCAUCCUUCCUGCUCAUACUGUGGAGAGGGAUUCACUUGGUCAUCUGACUAACUGGCACGCCCAUCAUUUUACACAGGGGAGAGGCCAUUCACCUGCUCAGACAGUGGGAGUGCAUUCACUCGGUCAUCUCAACUGAAGGAAUCCUUCUGUUUCUGGGAAGAGGUCUCCAACUCUCAGUCAGGUGCUCGAUAUUUCCUUUUCACCAUCUCAUCUGCUCAGAUCAUUGGGAUGUCUCCCAUGGAGGGUCAUACUCAUUCCACUAGUUCAUGUUUUCUUCCACAGUGAUGAUUCGUUUUUCUGAGGUAGCUUCUCAUUUAAGUUUCCUGGUCUGUAUUUCUUAUCACAAUUGCAUAUACAUAUAUGGAGUGCUGAAUCAUGUUCAAAUUCAAUUGUAAUCUAAGAUGAUGGCGCGACGGAGCUUGCAGCGGCCAUUCCGGAGCAGAUUAUCAGUUAUUUGUCAAGCGGGGUGCCGUGCGCCAUCAUAAUCGGGUGAAAAACGGACGUGGGAGCACGGAGGAACAUCUGGAAAUCUCCAGAAGACCACUUUCGUUGCUGCUGCUGCUGUGAGGUCCGGGACUCAGCUGGGAAGAACAGGCACCCAGUCUUCGGAGUCGCGUUGGCGGGGCCGUCUUAAUACGCUCGGCAGAGGAUGGUGCUCGGAGAAGCUGUGCCGGAGGGGA
Long non-coding RNA from Hypanus sabinus (Atlantic stingray), 1351 nucleotides. RefSeq lists it as uncharacterized. The transcript has 3 exons. The record is from RefSeq and is a predicted model, not a curated record. NCBI's taxonomy places the organism in Eukaryota, Metazoa, Chordata, Chondrichthyes, Myliobatiformes, Dasyatidae.